CCUACGGGAGGCAGCAGUGAGGAAUAUUGGUCAAUGGACGCAAGUCUGAACCAGCCAUGCCGCGUGCAGGAAGACGGCUCUAUGAGUUGUAAACUGCUUUUGUACGAGGGUAAACGCAGAUACGCGUAUCUGUCUGCAAGUAUCGUACGAAUAAGGAUCGGCUAACUCCGUGCCAGCAGCCGCGGUAAUACGGAGGAUUCAAGCGUUAUCCGGAUUUAUUGGGUUUAAAGGGUGCGUAGGCGGUCGGAUAAGUUAGAGGUGAAAUCCCGAGGCUCAACUUCGGAAUUGCCUUUGAUACUGUUCGGCUAGAGAGUAGUUGCGGUAGGCGGAAUGUAUGGUGUAGCGGUGAAAUGCUUAGAGAUCAUACAGAACACCGAUUGCGAAGGCAGCUUACCAAGCUACUUCUGACGUUGAGGCACGAAAGCGUGGGGAGCAAACAGGAUUAGAUACCCCUGUAGUC
This 460-nucleotide ribosomal RNA is filed under the name uncultured bacterium. Its description in RNAcentral is "partial 16S ribosomal RNA". It matches the Rfam family "Bacterial small subunit ribosomal RNA", at positions 338 to 795 of the family's 1533-position model. The record is from RNAcentral.